Molecule: ribosomal RNA, 447 nt
Filed under: uncultured bacterium
Lineage: Bacteria
Description: bacterial SSU rRNA
Rfam family: Bacterial small subunit ribosomal RNA
Source: RNAcentral
CCAGACUCCUACGGGAGGCAGCAGUGGGGGAUAUUGGACAAUGGGGGGAACCCUGAUCCAGCGACGCCGCGUGAGUGAAGAAGUAUCUCGGUAUGUAAAGCUCUAUCAGCAGGGAAGAAAGAAAUGACGGUACCUGAGUAAGAAGCCCCGGCUAACUACGUGCCAGCAGCCGCGGUAAUACGUAUGGAGCAAGCGUUAUCCGGAUUUACUGGGUGUAAAGGGAGCGCAGGCGGCGCGCCAAGUCUGGUGUGAAGCCCCGGGGCUCAACCCCGGGACUGCAUUGGAAACUGGCGGGCUGGAGUGUCGGAGGGGCAGGCGGAAUUCCUGGUGUAGCGGUGAAGUGCGUAGAUAUUAGGAGGAACACCAGUGGCGAAGGCGGCUUACUGGACAGUAACUGACGUUGAGGCUCGAAAGCGUGGGGAGCAAACAGGAUUAGAUACCCGUGUA